AAACCAACAGGGACGUCCUCAGUAGCGGCGAGCGAAGCGGACGAUGCCCAAACCGAACCGCGGUUCCGAGGGGCCGCGGAGUGUGGAGAGGAUGAGCUCGCGAGGGGCGGGACGGGUUCCAAUCCGUCUGGAAGGGCGGAGGCACGGAGGGCGAUUCCCCGUACGUGCUCGGUCCGUCCCCGACGAGCGAACGCAUCGGAGAGUCGGGCCGCUUGAGAGUGCAGCCCGAAUGGGGUGAUAGGUCUCAUCCAAGGCUAAGUACGUGGGAGACGCCGAUAGCGAACAAGUACGGCGACGGAAAGGUGAAAAGAACCUCGAAAGGGGGGUCAAAAGCGCUCGAAAUCGUAGAGGGGGAAGCGGACCUGACCGACGAGACCUCGUCGUCGCUCGCGCUCGACCCACCGCUUCGUCGCGGAGUUCCGGAGGGCGUCGCCCCCGGACGCCGCGGCGCGC
This 453-nucleotide ribosomal RNA is filed under the name uncultured bacterium. RNAcentral describes it as "eukaryotic LSU rRNA". It matches the Rfam family "Eukaryotic large subunit ribosomal RNA", at positions 62 to 518 of the family's 3401-position model. The record is from RNAcentral.